UGGGUCGCACUGGAAACUGGGGGACUUGAGUGCAGAAGAGGAGAGUGGAAUUCCACGUGUAGCGGUGAAAUGCGUAGAUAUGUGGAGGAACACCAGUGGCGAAGGCGACUCUCUGGGCUGUAACUGACGUUGAGGCGCGAAAGCGUGGGGAGCAACCAGGAUUAGAUACCCUGGUAGUCCACCCGUAAACGAUGAAUGCUAGGUGUUAGGGGUUUCGAUACCCUUGGUGCCGAAGUUAACACAUUAAGCAUUCGCCCUGGGGAGUACGGUGGCAAGACUGAAACUCAAAGGAAUUGACGGGGACCGCCACAACCAGUGGAGUAUGUGGUUUAAUUCGAAGCAACGCGAAGAACCUUACCAAGUCUUGACAUCCCUCUGAAUCCUCUAGAGAUAGAGGCGGCCUUGGGGACAGAGGUGACAGGUGGUGCAUGGUGGUCGUCAGCUGGUGUCGUGAGAUGUUGGGUUAAGUCCCGCAACGAGCCCAACCCUUGAUUUUAGUUCCCACCACUUAGGGUGGGCACUCUAGAAUGACUGCCGGUGACAAACCGGAGGAAGGCGGGGAUGACGUCAAAUCAUCAUGCCCCUUAUGACUUGGGCUACACACGUACUACAAUGGCUGGUACAACGGGAAGCGAAGCCGCGAGGUGGAGCCAAUCCUAUAAAAGCCAGUCUCAGUUCGGAUUGCAGGCUGCAACUCGCCUGCAUGAAGUCGGAAUUGCUAGUAAUCGCGGAUCAGCAUGCCGCGGUGAAUACGUUCCCGGGUCUUGUACACACCGCCCGUCACACCACGAGAGUUUACAACACCCGAAGUCGGUGGGGUAACCCG
This 826-nucleotide ribosomal RNA is filed under the name Paenibacillus sp. RNAcentral's name for it is "bacterial SSU rRNA". It matches the Rfam family "Bacterial small subunit ribosomal RNA", at positions 617 to 1442 of the family's 1533-position model. Lineage: Bacteria; Bacillati; Bacillota; Bacilli; Caryophanales; Paenibacillaceae. The record is from RNAcentral.